AACGAACGCUGGCGGCAUGCUUAACACAUGCAAGUCGAACGGACAAGAGGGAGCUUGCUCCUUCAAGUUAGUGGCAGACGGGUGAGUAAUGCAUGGGAAUCUGCCUUGAGGUGGGGAAUAACCCUGGGAAACCAGAGCUAAUACCGCAUAAUAUGCGCAAGCAUCAAAGAUUUAUCGCCUUAAGAGGAGCCCAUGUCAGAUUAGGUAGUUGGUGGGGUAAAGGCCUACCAAGCCUGUGAUCUGUAGCUGGUCUGAGAGGAUGAUCAGCCACACUGGGACUUAGACACGGCCCAGACUCCUACGGGAGGCAGCAGUGGGGAAUAUUGGACAAUGGGGGAAACCCUGAUCCAGCAAUGCCGCGUGAGUGAAGAAGGCCUUUGGGUUGUAAAGCUCUUUCGCCUGUGACGAUAAUGACGGUAGCAGGUAAAGAAGCCCCGGCUAACUCCG
RNAcentral lists this ribosomal RNA (447 nucleotides) under uncultured Rickettsiales bacterium. RNAcentral describes it as "bacterial SSU rRNA". It matches the Rfam family "Bacterial small subunit ribosomal RNA", at positions 29 to 505 of the family's 1533-position model. Lineage: Bacteria; Pseudomonadati; Pseudomonadota; Alphaproteobacteria; Rickettsiales. The record is from RNAcentral.